RNAcentral lists this long non-coding RNA (1873 nucleotides) under Dromaius novaehollandiae (emu). RNAcentral's name for it is "lncRNA (ENSDNVG00000008283.1)". The record is from RNAcentral. Lineage: Eukaryota; Metazoa; Chordata; Aves; Casuariiformes; Dromaiidae.
CCCCCGUCAGCAACCCGCAGCGCAGCGGCGGCAGAGCUCUAUAUAGGGCGCAGCCCAGAGUGGGCGGGACCAUCCCUGCCGCUCAUCCCAGCCCGGGGCCGCGAUUGGUCUCUCUCCGCGACGGGGCCACGCCCCCGCGUCGCGCGCGGCGGCCGUUACGCGGCGACGGUUGGCGGCCGUUACGCGGCGGCAGUUGGCGCGCGCGGCGGCAGCGGGUGAGGUGGCGCCUGCGCGCUGGGGGGGGGCCGGGGGCGGCUGGGGGUGGCGGUACCGCGGGGAAGGCCGGGACGCCCAGGGCCCGCUGCAGCCCGCCGCGCCGGGAGCCGCGCGAAGAGGCGCCGCCGGCGGCUCUGUUCGCGGGAAGGGGAAUAGGGCGGGACGUAGCGAGCCGCGGUACCGCUUCCACCCCCCGGGGCUGGUUCAGCCUCCUCGGCRCCGCUCGGGAGGCUGUUCCCGGCCUCCCAAGGGCCUGUGGGAGUCUUACCGCAACUUGCUCUCUUGAAGGCCGGAAAAYGCAGCGAGCAUCCGCUGCCGAGGGUCGGCCAUGAGACGCAAACGCAGAGGCAGCCCUGCCCGGCAGGUUGAGGCGUGCGAUGUCUGGCUGGACACGGCGAAGCUAAAGCAGCGCAGAGGACAGUCUCUCCUACCCAAGCCAAAAGUAUCUCAUCGCCUUCUGGAGAGGCACUGUGAGGGGUACACCUCAGUGCCUUCCACGCAGACAAGAGCAGCUCCAGCGUGCACCAAGCAAACCACCAUCUCCGCCUUCUUCAGUACCCAGACAGAUGAAAAAGACAAAGAAAACUCCAGGUUAUCUCCGCUUAUCCUAAAUAAAGAACAUAAAGAAAAAGGUAUUCCUUUGGCUGCCUCCCCUGUGAAGAUCUUGACGUUUCCGCAGAUAGAGGAAGCGCAGAAACCACCCUUCAGAGCUGAAGAUAAGAAGGUACAGAUUAUACCCCAGCAUCUUGUACAAAAAGCACCAGUCUCGCAGACCUCUUUGCCAGACUCUUUGCCAGACUCUUUGCUAGAAGCAGAGUCCCGCAGUAAGGGUGAGGCCUCCUGUGGGGGAGAAGAGGAUUUCUCCUUAGACUUUACCCAGGAUUCAGAGGGCAACCAGAUCCUAUCUUUGCCAGACUCUUUGCUAGAAGCAGAGUCCCGCAGUAAGGGUGAGGCCUCCUGUGGGGGAGAAGAGGAUUUCUCCUUAGACUUUACCCAGGAUUCAGAGGGCAACCAGAUCCUAGCUCACAGAAAUGUAGCUGACUUAUUUGCUGGAGAAACAGUCUCUGGAAGCAACAUAACUUCAAGAAAGAGAACAGACUCCUGGAUAAACAAAGAGGAGGGCCAGCUGGACCCAGAGGAGGAGAAGGAUGGACUUGAUAUCCAACCAAGRCAUGGUGCAAACCAGAGUAAGAAACCACACCGACUAUCUAGUAGCAAUAAUUCUUUAAUUGAUUUCUCCGAGCCUGAGAAUAUAAAUCCUGCUAUAAAGAGAGACAAUAUCGGGGCUGCUGGCUUUUGUUCAUCUCCUAAAAGAAYACCUAAAGCACAGCCUUUGAGAGAGCGCAGCCAAAACGCUGGUGGUGGUUCAGCUAAGGAAGAAUGGGACAGUAAGAACAGACUGAGCAGUCCCUUGAGGCAAUUGUUUACCCAGGAUUCAGAGGGGAACAGAGUAAUUUCUCACUACUGCCAGAAAGUGAGAUCUCCUCUAAAGGCGAAAAACAGCACUAGCAGUUGGCUGACUAACUCCCCAUACAAGGAUUGUUCCAGGGAUGCUACAAAUAGGAAUGUAAGCAAACUAGGGGAGCAUCAGUUAGAUGCAUGCUACGAUUUACUAUUCACCCAGGAUUCAGAAGGRAAUAGAGUUAUUAAACACUGA